RNAcentral lists this ribosomal RNA (432 nucleotides) under uncultured bacterium. Its description in RNAcentral is "partial 16S ribosomal RNA". It matches the Rfam family "Bacterial small subunit ribosomal RNA", at positions 29 to 506 of the family's 1533-position model. The record is from RNAcentral.
AACGAACGCUGGCGGCAUGCCUAACACAUGCAAGUCGAACGAGACCUUCGGGUCUAGUGGCGCACGGGUGCGUAACGCGUGGGAACUUGCCCUUAGGUUCGGAAUAAUUCCCCGAAGGGGGUGCUAAUACCGGUUAAUGUCAUCGGACCAAUGAGUUAUGGCUUCUGGAUGGGCCUGCGUUGGAUUAGGCGGUUGGGAGGGUAAAAGCCUCCUAAGGCGACGAUCCAUCGCUGGUCGGAGAGGAUGAUCAGCCACACUGGGACUGGGACAAGGCCCAGACUGCUGCGAGAGGUAGCAGAGGUUAAUAUAUGGCAGGGGGCGAGAGCCAGAAACAGCAAGGCCGCGUGAGUGAUGAUGGCGUUAGAGUUGUAAUGCGCUUUUACCCGGGAUGAUAAGGACAGAACCGGGAGAAUAAGCCCCGGCUAACACCGU